AACUUUCAACAACGGAUCUCUUGGUUCUCGCAUCGAUGAAGAACGCAGCGAAACGCGAUAGUUAAUGUGAAUUGCAGAAUUCAGUGAAUCAUCGAGUCUUUGAACGCACAUUGCACCUUUUGGUAUUCCGAAAGGGUAUGUCUGUUUGAGC
Molecule: ribosomal RNA, 151 nt
Filed under: Orbilia luteorubella
Lineage: Eukaryota; Fungi; Ascomycota; Orbiliomycetes; Orbiliales; Orbiliaceae
Description: 5.8S ribosomal RNA
Rfam family: 5.8S ribosomal RNA
About the family: 5.8S ribosomal RNA (5.8S rRNA) is a component of the large subunit of the eukaryotic ribosome. It is transcribed by RNA polymerase I as part of the 45S precursor that also contains 18S and 28S rRNA.
Source: RNAcentral